RNAcentral lists this ribosomal RNA (253 nucleotides) under uncultured bacterium. RNAcentral's name for it is "partial 16S ribosomal RNA". It matches the Rfam family "Bacterial small subunit ribosomal RNA", at positions 524 to 776 of the family's 1533-position model. The record is from RNAcentral.
UACGAAGGGGGCUAGCGUUGUUCGGAAUCACUGGGCGUAAAGGGCGCGUAGGCGGCCGAUCAAGUCGGGGGUGAAAUCCCGGGGCUCAACCUCGGAAUUGCCUUCGAUACUGUUAGUCUUGAGUCCGGGAGAGGUGAGUGGAAUUCCUAGUGUAGAGGUGAAAUUCGUAGAUAUUAGGAAGAACACCAGUGGCGAAGGCGGCUCACUGGCCCGGUACUGACGCUCAUGUGCGAAAGCGUGGGGAGCAAACAGG